UACGUAGGUUGCAAGCGUUACUCGGAAUUACUAGGCGUAAAGCGUAUGUAGGCGGUUAUGUAAGUCUGUGGUGAAAUCUCCCGGCUCAACCGGGAGGGGUCCAUAGAUACUGCAUGGCUUGAGUGUGGGAGAGGGAGACGGAAUUCCUGGUGUAGCGGUGAAAUGCGUAGAUAUCAGGAGGAACACCAAUGGCGAAAGCAGUCUCCUGGCCCAAUACUGACGCUCAGAUACGAAAGCUAGGGGAGCAAAC
Molecule: ribosomal RNA, 250 nt
Filed under: uncultured bacterium
Lineage: Bacteria
Description: partial 16S ribosomal RNA
Rfam family: Bacterial small subunit ribosomal RNA
Source: RNAcentral